RNAcentral lists this long non-coding RNA (4330 nucleotides) under Macaca mulatta (Rhesus monkey). Its description in RNAcentral is "lncRNA (ENSMMUG00000042422.2)". Lineage: Eukaryota; Metazoa; Chordata; Mammalia; Primates; Cercopithecidae. The record is from RNAcentral.
AGAGGUGGGAAGGGAAGGAGGAGAAAGCAAGCAAAAGGGGGCAGGCGGGGCUGUGAGGUGGAGGUGGGGAAAUAGAAGCGCUGCAGGCUCUAAGCUAGUGAGGUCACCAAAAGAGUGAGGCUAACACAGGGCAAGGUGGUGAAAAGGUGGCUUCUGUUUUCAAGUUUGUUUUUGUGGGGAGAAUGUCUGUCUCUCUGCGGCAGUGAGGGCUUGAAGGCUCAGGCGGGUGAUGGGCUUAGAACUUUGAGCCUAUGAUCAGCUUAGGCAUUAGAGAUUUUGGUUUCCAGGCCAUCUGCUUUAUCUGAAGAUUUUCAGCUGAUGAAGAACUAGGAGGCUCAAACACUAUCUUACCUGAGUCCAGGACAAGUGACUUGGAAAGUGUGUUCUUCUGUGACAGGAUCAGGUCUGUCUAGGGCAGGAUGGCCCAGGAUCUCAGCGAGAAGGAUCUGUUGAAGAUGGAGGUGGAGCAGCUAAAGAAGGAAGUGAAAAACACAAGAAUUCCGAUUUCCAAAGCGGGAAAGGAAAUCAAGGAGUAUGUGGAGGCCCAAGCAGGAAACGACCCUUUUCUCAAAGGGAUCCCUGAGGACAAGAAUCCCUUCAAAGAGAAAGGCGGCUGUCUGAUAAGCUGAUGGCACGGAGCCCCGCCCUGAGUGUCUGUCCCUCUUCAGCCAAGCCCAAGUCUCCUAGACCCCCAGUGAGCCAAUGAAGUGUCACCUUCUCUUCAUCACAGAAUGAGUAAAGAUCCCUGAACAAAUGCAUUGUGAACCCAUUCCCCAUUCCCACUUUCCACUCUUUUCUCCCAUUAUUUCCUCCAUCUGCUGGGUCUCUGCUGACUUUGCUGGAACACUCUGAGGACAGUGUGGCUGGCCAAGCAGUUGGCCCCAGGGGUGGUGGGGUGUGAGGAGCCUGCGAUACCAUGAGACCCCAGAGGGCAGUCCUUAGGAAGCAUUUACACCACCUUAGAACCCCUCCGUCUUUUCCCUCCACUCUCUUCCUAGGAAAAAAGCAUUUCCACGCCAGAUUAGUUUGGGUUGGGGGCGGUCCUGUCCCCCCAUAACAUGUCCUACCCUGUGAUCCUGUUCCUAGUCAUUUAGAUCACCCCAGAUGGCCUGAUGACAACAGGAGUUUGUGAAGUUAUGAUUUCAUGACUUAUUUAAUAUUGUCGAGUAGUCUGUUAGUGCUGGGCACUAUGGAUGGAAGAGUGAGCAACACGAACAUGGCUCCUAUUUUCAUGGAAUUUGGUGGAGAAGACAUGAAACAAUUUACAAUUAAGUCCAUAAAUGCUACAAUGGGGAGAGUCAAGGGCCGUGUAGGAACACACAGCAGAAAGACAUUCAGGGCAAUGAGCAAUGUCAAUGUAAAUGCUGUCGAGGGGCGCAGAAUGGGGGCUGGAAAAGCAUGAGGCUAGAGAAGGAGAUUGGGGUCAAGUCUUGAAGGACCUUUUGGUGAACUCAGUUAGGAACUUUGUUCUUCAUCCUAAGGGCAAUAGGAAGCCUAGGAAGGUAUUUAAGCAGAUUCUGGUUAGCAGAAGGGAGGCUGGAUCCUGCUAAGGACUGGGAAUGUAGUGAUGGAUGAGACCAAUUCCUGGGCCUUGCCGGCAUGGAAAGGACUGAAGGAGCUGCAGACAAACCAGCACUCAUGAUACAAUGAGCUCAGUGCAACAUCAGAGAGGUCUGCGAGGGAUAUGAUGGAAUCCCAUAGGAGGGCUACCUAAUCUUGCUGAAGAGGUGCGUUGAGUCCUUGGAAGAAAGACAGGAAAGGCCUUUAGAAGGAGGUGAUAUCUCGAGCUGAGUUCUAAAGGGUUAAGUUGUCAAUGGGUGGAUGGAUGGCACUUCUGGUGGGCCAGUAUAAACAGAGGCAUGAUAUGAGAAAGGACCAUGGUUUGAAUGGGAGCACCAAUCAGGUUGGAGUGGGGAUGUCAAGAGGUCUAGAUCCUUAGGAUCUGUGCUAGAGAGGGCUUGGAGGUGACUAGUGGGGUCUGGCUUGCUGAACUAAACAAACUUAUUUGCUGGGAGUGACUUGGUAAUGUUAGAAGGAAAUUUGCUUUUCUGGUGGGGAGGGUGACAAAGUCUUUCUCUGUCGCCCAGGUUGGAGUGCAGGGGCACAAUCAUGGCUCACUGCAGCCUCUGCCUCCUGGGCUCAAGCAAUCCUCCCACCCCAGCCUCCCACAUAGCUGGGACUACAGGUGUGUGCCACCAUGCUUGGCUAAUUUUUAAAUUUUUUUGUAGCGACAGGGUCUCACUAUAUUGCACAGGCUGAUCUUGAACUCCUGGCCUCAAGCAAUCCUCCUGCCUUGGUCUCCCAAAGUGCUGAGAUUAUAGGCGUGAGCUACCAAGCCUGGCUGGAAAUUUGCUCUUGACAAGAUUGAACAGGGAAAGAGUGAAGGCAGAGAGGCAAUUAAGGAGGUGAUUGUUCCAUCAGGGGUAAAGUGAGGAAGACCUGAAUUAGGGCAGUGGCUGUAAGUCUUGGGGGCAGUAGGUAAGUUGAUGAGUUCUUUGGGAAAUAAAGUUUUCAGAUCUUGACAUUUCUUUGAGUUAUGAGUGAAGGAGAAUGAGUUGUCAAGGAUAGCAUCCAAGUUUCUGGCUUGUAGGGUUUACUAGAUAGAAAUGAAAGCAAGUCUCUGAAAAUAAACCUAAUCUAAUAGUCAUCCUACAUACUACAGCCACAGCCUCCCUUCCCCAGCUGGUCACAGCCUCAAGGGUGAGGUCACGGGGCCUCUGUGGUCAAAAUCCAGGAUCUCCAAUUCCCAAUUCCAUCCUGACUCCAUCUCACCAUUCUGCAAGCUGGUGUCAAUUCAACCACUCUUCAUAUAGUCUGCUCAAGAGAAGGAAAAGAUGAGGAAUGAGAAAGAGAAAACAUUAAAGACAGUAAUUCUUCCUUCAAAAAAACAGGGAAAGGUAAAUAUUCCAUAGGGCUCCAACAGUAAGGAAGGAAAAAAAGAUGGGAGCGCCAGUCAUGCGGCCAUUGGCCAUGUGGCUACAGCUUCCUUCUUCCACCUGCCCAGUCCUUAUUCUCCUGUCUUCAGGCAGGCUCUCACUGGUUGGGGUUCUGGAUCCAGAGCGGCAACUCUAAUCUCUGUUCCUGAGGCUCUUGAACCCUUGGUGGGACUCUGAUUAGAGUAGCAGUUUCUUCAGCCCGCCGUUCCACAGGGUACAAUGUGCCCCAGAUGUUCUCUGGUUCCUCCUGUACCUUUCCUGGCCACCACAGGGUGUGGUAACAAUCACAGGACUCCCUGAGUCUCAGGGUCAGUCAUCAGCCUGACACUCUGACCCCCUUUUCUGUCUCUUCCUAAUGCCAUAGGGAGCCUGAAAUGGCAGGGUAGAAAUCUCAGCUUAUAAAGGGAUUAUGACAUUGUGCCCUGUGGCUUCCUUCCUUCCCUCCCUCCCUCCUUCUCUCUCUUUCUCUUUCUUUCUUUCUCUUUCUUUCUUUCUCUUUCUUUUCUUUCUUUCUUUCUUUCUUUCUCUUUCUUUCUUUUUCUUUCCUUCCUUCCUUGCUUCCUUCCUUCCUUCUUUCCUUCUUUCUUUUUCUUUUUUUCUUCUUUUUUUCUGAGACAGAAUUUUGCUCUUGUUGCCCAGGCUGGUGUGAAAUGGCCUGAUCUUGGCUCACUGCAACCUCCACCUCCCAGGUUCAAGUGAUUCUCCUGCCUCAGUCUUCCCAAGUAGCUGGGAUAACAGGCAUGCACCACCAUGCCCGGCUAAUUUUGUAUUUUUAGUAGAGAUGGGGUUUCUCCAUGUUGGUCAGGCUGGUCUCGAACUCCCGACUUCAGGUGAUCUGACUGCCUUGGCCUUCCAAAGUGCUGGGAUUACAGGUGUGCGCCACUGCGCCCAGCGGGUAGCAUUCCUUUGUUGCAUGCCCAGACCUUCACACUGUUGAUUAGGAGGACAAGAAUGAUCAUUCUGAGAGUGGGUCAUUGAUGCCAUCUGAGCCAUCCUUUCCCUCCUCUAGCCUAGAGAUCCUCGAGUUUUUUAGCCAUGAAGGGAAAACACUGUAAGUUGUUUCUGGUUCCAUUCACAGCACAGCCAGCAACCUUUCUGACAUCACUUAGUCUUUGCAAAGUGGUGUCCACCUACCUGGCACCACCCUGGGUCUUUACUAGAACAGCCUAUCACUCUGUAAAGCCACUUGCUUGUAGAUAACAGACACAUGGUGAGAUCAGAAAAUCCUGUUGACAUUAGCCCCAACCUUAUUUCUUUUUGUUUCUUUGGUAGUUUUAUUUUGAAGAAUUUUAGAUUUACAGAGGAGUUGCAAAGUUAGUACUGAGAGUUCCCUUAACCCAGGUUCCCCUAAUGUUAACAUCUUCAUAACCCUGGUACUUUUAAAAUUAAAAAUU